UGGCAAAACAGGCCAAAGUGUAGGCACAAGCAAGAAUAUUGCCCAGUUCAUUGUUGGAUGUGUGAAAGAAUGGUGUCCCCUGAAGGAUGCUGUCAGAGGAAAAUACCCUCUGUUUGGGUUCACUUAUUCUAUGGGAUUCAGCAGCCCAGGCAGUUUUCUCACCCCAUUGCGUUCAUUUUCCCUUGCUCACUGCAGGUCACCUGAGGCGUUUGUUCAGAGGUGCCGAUCCUGAGGUGAGUGAGAAAGGAACCUUUGAUAUUCCUGCUGUUGGAGAAUUGUGGAGCAAGCUGGGAGCUUGGCCUGUGGCAGCAGAGUGUAGGUGGCCAGCUGAGUAGGCUGAAAGGAAAUCCAUUUCCAUGUCUGCAGCAGUGAUAGCAAAGGCAUUGCUGCCUAUUUCCUCAUCUUCCACUGCAAUGCUUUAAAAGAACCAGAAGACCAGUUUUGCAGAGAGAACACUGCUUCUUGAUAGUAGCCAGGGUGGGAGAUCUAAUUCAGACAAUUUGCAGUCCAGUUGAAUUAAGCCAUUUUCAUUUAGUUGGAGUGACUUAGAAUCCCAUUGCUAUCAAAGUGGAUGAUUUGUCUUUAGUCGAGCUGGUUGUAGAAAUAGAGCAGAAUAGAAGUAAGGUUAUAAAUGAUAGGUAGCUGCCUGUCCCUAACACUACUAUCUCUGCACAGAGCCCAGAACCAACAGCAGACUCUUCUCUGGCUCCCUCUGCUCCUGGAGAAGAGGCCAAAGAGGAGCAAAAUGACCACGAGCCUCCAGCAGUGGUCACACCCCAGCCUGAACAUUCAGAGACUGUUGUUCUGGAGAAAGAGCAGGAGCAGAUUGAUUUGUCAGAGAUGCCAUGCCAGACUGAGGGAGAGCUGUUGCCAGCCCGAGAGCAGGAAGAGCAGCUUGGGCAGCAGGUGGAAGAGGCACUGGAGAAUGGCCAGAAAUUCAGAUGCAGAAAGCAUUUAAAACAGACAGAAAUGACAGUGGGGAGAGGCCUAGGAGUCUGCAUGAAAACGCCCACCCGUGCUGGUGGCAAUGAAAUAGAUGCUGACCAAGGAGACUUUGAUCCUCUUCAAGCAAGAGAAAAAUUUCCUUCACUUUUCCCACAGCAGCAGAGGUCAAAAAGGAGGUUUUAUCCUGCCCCUCUGCAGCUGAGCUCAGCUAGUGGGCAUGGUGGGGAGCCCUCACUGUCACUAGCGCUGUGCAACCCAGGGAUGGCCUUGCUCCUGUGCUAAAGGAACAGCAGCGGCGUCAACCUCACCCCUUGGAUCCCAGCCCCAGGCACCUGACUGAAGGCUCACCCUCCUGUUCAAGUACCAAGAAACAGCCGGGGCUUUGGCACACAAUUCUAACUGCAGCUGGAGAAAAACACAUCCUGAACUUUUCCAGGCCACCCAGACACAUGACAGAACAAUGUACAGAUGACUUGAAAGCCUGAAAAUUUUGAAGUCCCACAGGAUUUGGAAAAGAUGCUAGAAUUUAAACAAAAAUGGAUGUGCUUUGUUUAAUAAAGGAAAAAGCAAACAGA
Molecule: long non-coding RNA, 1520 nt
Filed under: Cyanistes caeruleus (blue tit)
Lineage: Eukaryota; Metazoa; Chordata; Aves; Passeriformes; Paridae
Description: lncRNA (ENSCCEG00000003120.1)
Source: RNAcentral